Molecule: long non-coding RNA, 261 nt
Organism: Arachis duranensis
Lineage: Eukaryota; Viridiplantae; Streptophyta; Magnoliopsida; Fabales; Fabaceae
Exons: 3
Source: RefSeq, a predicted model, not a curated record
GAUUUUUUAAUUGAGGGAGUUCUGAGGUUUCAGGAUGUAGGGAAGAAAACAGUUGAUGGAUGUAUGUUCGCAUUAUUGAUUAUAUAUCUCCAUGCUAACAAGCAUGGAGAUUUAGGAAGAUAUAAUGGGAGAGAACCGUGGAUCAGAGACUGGUCGCUUGUUGAUCUGAAGAAGAUGGAUAAAGAGGAAAGCACAUCUCACUCGGGGCUUCUAAAUUUAAUUGGAAAGAUGUAUGGGUCACCGAAAAAGCACAAUCGUGUA